GUACCACUCGCGCACAACUGCACCAUCAUGCACACACUACAUCCUUCACACACACAAUACAUCCUCCACACCCACUACAUUCUACACACACACACACUACAUCCUUCACAAACGCAAUGCACCCCCGUACACACACUGUACCCAUUACACGCCCACACGCUGCACCCCUCACACACACACACUGCACCCCUUACACACUCACACGCUGCAGC
Pelobates cultripes (western spadefoot toad) is the source of this 212-nucleotide non-coding RNA. The record is from the annotation of a GenBank genome assembly. Lineage: Eukaryota; Metazoa; Chordata; Amphibia; Anura; Pelobatidae.